CCUACGGGAGGCAGCAGUGGGGAAUAUUGCGCAAUGGGCGAAAGCCUGACGCAGCGACGCCGCGUGAGGGAUGAAGGUCUUCGGAUCGUAAACCUCUGUCAGCAGGGAAGAACGUCCACUGUGCUAAUCAGCAGUGAAUUGACGGUACCUGCAAAGGAAGCACCGGCGAACUCCGUGCGAGCAGCCGCGGUAAUACGGAGGGUGCGAGCGUUAAUCGGAUUUACUGGGCGUAAAGCGCUCGUAGGCGGUAUGUCAAGUCAAGGGUGAAAUCCCCGCGCUCAACGUGGGAACUGCCUUUGAAACUGGCAGGCUGGAGUGUGGGAGAGGAAGGUGGAAUGCCAGGUGUAGGAGUGAAAUCCAUAGAUAUCUGAAGGAACAUCAGUGGCGAAGGCGACUAUCUGACACAUAACUGACGCUGAGGAGCGAAAGCGUGGGGAGCAAACAGGAUUAGAUACCCGUGUAGUC
Molecule: ribosomal RNA, 465 nt
Filed under: uncultured bacterium
Lineage: Bacteria
Description: partial 16S ribosomal RNA
Rfam family: Bacterial small subunit ribosomal RNA
Source: RNAcentral